RNAcentral lists this transfer RNA (58 nucleotides) under Mongoloniscus sinensis. RNAcentral's name for it is "tRNA-Lys". The record is from RNAcentral. Lineage: Eukaryota; Metazoa; Arthropoda; Malacostraca; Isopoda; Agnaridae.
AAAGAGUUGGCUGAUAAUAAGCAAAAGGUUUUUAAUCUUUUUAUGAAAGAAUUAGUUA